RNAcentral lists this ribosomal RNA (301 nucleotides) under uncultured bacterium. RNAcentral's name for it is "partial 16S ribosomal RNA". It matches the Rfam family "Bacterial small subunit ribosomal RNA", at positions 509 to 809 of the family's 1533-position model. The record is from RNAcentral.
CAGUCGCCACGGGAAUACGAAGGGUGCAAGCGUUACUCGGAAUUACUGGGCGUAAAGCGUGCGUAGGUGGUGGUUUAAGUCCGUUGUGAAAGCCCUGGGCUCAACCUGGGAAUUGCAGUGGAUACUGGGUCACUAGAGUGUGGUAGAGGAUAGUGGAAUUUCCGGUGUAGCAGUGAAAUGCGUAGAGAUCGGAAGGAACAUCUGUGGCGAAGGCGACUAUCUGGGCCAACACUGACACUGAGGCACGAAAGCGUGGGGAGCAAACAGGAUUAGAUACCCCGGUAGUCCCUGUCUCUUAUAA